This 2902-nucleotide ribosomal RNA is filed under the name Escherichia coli HVH 83 (4-2051087). Its description in RNAcentral is "bacterial LSU rRNA". It matches the Rfam family "Bacterial large subunit ribosomal RNA". Lineage: Bacteria; Pseudomonadati; Pseudomonadota; Gammaproteobacteria; Enterobacterales; Enterobacteriaceae. The record is from RNAcentral. RNAcentral also lists the same sequence under 1 other name.
UUAAGCGACUAAGCGUACACGGUGGAUGCCCUGGCAGUCAGAGGCGAUGAAGGACGUGCUAAUCUGCGAUAAGCGUCGGUGAGGUGAUAUGAACCGUUAUAACCGGCGAUUUCCGAAUGGGGAAACCCAGUGUGUUUCGACACACUAUCAUUAACUGAAUCCAUAGGUUAAUGAGGCGAACCGGGGGAACUGAAACAUCUAAGUACCCCGAGGAAAAGAAAUCAACCGAGAUUCCCCCAGUAGCGGCGAGCGAACGGGGAGGAGCCCAGAGCCUGAAUCAGUGUGUGUGUUAGUGGAAGCGUCUGGAAAGGCGUGCGAUACAGGGUGACAGCCCCGUACACAAAAAUGCACAUAUUGUGAGCUCGAUGAGUAGGGCGGGACACGUGGUAUCCUGUCUGAAUAUGGGGGGACCAUCCUCCAAGGCUAAAUACUCCUGACUGACCGAUAGUGAACCAGUACCGUGAGGGAAAGGCGAAAAGAACCCCGGCGAGGGGAGUGAAAAAGAACCUGAAACCGUGUACGUACAAGCAGUGGGAGCCUCUUAAUGGGGUGACUGCGUACCUUUUGUAUAAUGGGUCAGCGACUUAUAUUCUGUAGCAAGGUUAACCGAAUAGGGGAGCCGAAGGGAAACCGAGUCUUAACUGGGCGUUAAGUUGCAGGGUAUAGACCCGAAACCCGGUGAUCUAGCCAUGGGCAGGUUGAAGGUUGGGUAACACUAACUGGAGGACCGAACCGACUAAUGUUGAAAAAUUAGCGGAUGACUUGUGGCUGGGGGUGAAAGGCCAAUCAAACCGGGAGAUAGCUGGUUCUCCCCGAAAGCUAUUUAGGUAGCGCCUCGUGAAUUCAUCUCCGGGGGUAGAGCACUGUUUCGGCAAGGGGGUCAUCCCGACUUACCAACCCGAUGCAAACUGCGAAUACCGGAGAAUGUUAUCACGGGAGACACACGGCGGGUGCUAACGUCCGUCGUGAAGAGGGAAACAACCCAGACCGCCAGCUAAGGUCCCAAAGUCAUGGUUAAGUGGGAAACGAUGUGGGAAGGCCCAGACAGCCAGGAUGUUGGCUUAGAAGCAGCCAUCAUUUAAAGAAAGCGUAAUAGCUCACUGGUCGAGUCGGCCUGCGCGGAAGAUGUAACGGGGCUAAACCAUGCACCGAAGCUGCGGCAGCGACACUAUGUGUUGUUGGGUAGGGGAGCGUUCUGUAAGCCUGUGAAGGUGGCCUGUGAGGGUUGCUGGAGGUAUCAGAAGUGCGAAUGCUGACAUAAGUAACGAUAAAGCGGGUGAAAAGCCCGCUCGCCGGAAGACCAAGGGUUCCUGUCCAACGUUAAUCGGGGCAGGGUGAGUCGACCCCUAAGGCGAGGCCGAAAGGCGUAGUCGAUGGGAAACAGGUUAAUAUUCCUGUACUUGGUGUUACUGCGAAGGGGGGACGGAGAAGGCUAUGUUGGCCGGGCGACGGUUGUCCCGGUUUAAGCGUGUAGGCUGGUUUUCCAGGCAAAUCCGGAAAACCAAGGCUGAGGCGUGAUGACGAGGCACUACGGUGCUGAAGCGACAAAUGCCCUGCUUCCAGGAAAAGCCUCUAAGCAUCAGGUAACAUCAAAUCGUACCCCAAACCGACACAGGUGGUCAGGUAGAGAAUACCAAGGCGCUUGAGAGAACUCGGGUGAAGGAACUAGGCAAAAUAGUGCCGUAACUUCGGGAGAAGGCACGCUGAUAUGUAGGUGAAGCGACUUGCUCGUGGAGCUGAAAUCAGUCGAAGAUACCAGCUGGCUGCAACUGUUUAUUAAAAACACAGCACUGUGCAAACACGAAAGUGGACGUAUACGGUGUGACGCCUGCCCGGUGCCGGAAGGUUAAUUGAUGGGGUUAGCGGUAACGCGAAGCUCUUGAUCGAAGCCCCGGUAAACGGCGGCCGUAACUAUAACGGUCCUAAGGUAGCGAAAUUCCUUGUCGGGUAAGUUCCGACCUGCACGAAUGGCGUAAUGAUGGCCAGGCUGUCUCCACCCGAGACUCAGUGAAAUUGAACUCGCUGUGAAGAUGCAGUGUACCCGCGGCAAGACGGAAAGACCCCGUGAACCUUUACUAUAGCUUGACACUGAACAUUGAGCCUUGAUGUGUAGGAUAGGUGGGAGGCUUUGAAGUGUGGACGCCAGUCUGCAUGGAGCCGACCUUGAAAUACCACCCUUUAAUGUUUGAUGUUCUAACGUUGGCCCGUAAUCCGGGUUGCGGACAGUGUCUGGUGGGUAGUUUGACUGGGGCGGUCUCCUCCUAAAGAGUAACGGAGGAGCACGAAGGUUGGCUAAUCCUGGUCGGACAUCAGGAGGUUAGUGCAAUGGCAUAAGCCAGCUUGACUGCGAGCGUGACGGCGCGAGCAGGUGCGAAAGCAGGUCAUAGUGAUCCGGUGGUUCUGAAUGGAAGGGCCAUCGCUCAACGGAUAAAAGGUACUCCGGGGAUAACAGGCUGAUACCGCCCAAGAGUUCAUAUCGACGGCGGUGUUUGGCACCUCGAUGUCGGCUCAUCACAUCCUGGGGCUGAAGUAGGUCCCAAGGGUAUGGCUGUUCGCCAUUUAAAGUGGUACGCGAGCUGGGUUUAGAACGUCGUGAGACAGUUCGGUCCCUAUCUGCCGUGGGCGCUGGAGAACUGAGGGGGGCUGCUCCUAGUACGAGAGGACCGGAGUGGACGCAUCACUGGUGUUCGGGUUGUCAUGCCAAUGGCACUGCCCGGUAGCUAAAUGCGGAAGAGAUAAGUGCUGAAAGCAUCUAAGCACGAAACUUGCCCCGAGAUGAGUUCUCCCUGACUCCUUGAGGGUCCUGAAGGAACGUUGAAGACGACGACGUUGAUAGGCCGGGUGUGUAAGCGCAGCGAUGCGUUGAGCUAACCGGUACUAAUGAACCGUGAGGCUUAACCUU